Molecule: long non-coding RNA, 1956 nt
Organism: Cygnus atratus (black swan)
Lineage: Eukaryota; Metazoa; Chordata; Aves; Anseriformes; Anatidae
Exons: 5
Source: RefSeq, a predicted model, not a curated record
GAAGAGGGAGGAGAGGGGAGAAGGGCGUUGCAGCCAACCCUAGGGGAGGUUUUGCGAGGGGGGGGGGGCCUCGGAUGCGAAGCCCCGCCCUCCGUGCUGCGUAGAGAGAGGCACGCCGGGAGAGUGCUGGCGGAAGCGGAAAGGGGAGCGGGCAGGAAGGGGCGACAGGGCGGCCGUUAGCCUGUGGGGCUGGCCGCGCCCACUGCGGUCUGUGAGGUUGUUAGUGCAGUACCUGCAACGUGCUCAGUGGCAGUCGUUGGUUUUCUGUUACCCUCGGGCCUUUGACUUGUUUCUUGGCCCGUAUCCUUGGACUUAAGUCCCGUUUGUAGGUUUUCAGAUGCAUUAAGAGGCUGUUUUCUCUCCUUUAACAGGCUGAAACAUGUUAAAGCCUGGUGUGUUCAAGUAGCAUUGAAUUUCCCUUUCUGCAAUAUGAAUUUAUUUUGUAAAAAUAUCUUGAUUUUAUGCUGCUUUUCUAAUUGAUUAUUUUAUAGUCUCCAAGGAAAGAAUCCUAGGGACAGCUAAGCUAUUAAUAAAUAAUUACAAUUAUAUUGCCUAGCAGUUGGAGAAUACAAGGAGGGAUGCAAGGAAGAACAGGACAGACUAGUGGGUUAUAUUUUAAUCAUGUUCCCUCUGAUCCUAAAAUACUUGGUCCAAUGAAGGGUGCUAAUAGGAUGAAUAACCCAUAACUUUAGGUAAAGAAAGAUCCUCUACAAAAAAAAAUCAUAUUUUAAUCAUUCAGAGGAUUGUUUAAAUAAUUUUAUGAGACAUUUCAUUCAAAUGAUUCACCUAGCAAGCAAAGUAUAGAAAAGUUUUGAGACUAUAAAUUAUAUUUUGAUCACAUAGGAACAUGCUGUAAAUAAAAUUGCAUUUUUUUUCCAAAGCUACAAGACAGGAAGGCCCUAAUUUCACUAGCAAUAAAAUGUUAUCUGUUAUUCAAAAUAUUCAUAUGACAGCCUCAAAGAUGAAGAGAAACAUGCAGUCCAUUAUUUACGCUUUCUAAAGAGAUUGGUAAUUUAAGACUAAACUACCAGUUUCUGCAGAGAAUUAACCUCAAAGAAAGCUGUAGCGGCAUGGGUGUCAGUCUCUUUUCCCAAGUACCAAGCAAUAAGGUGUUGGUUUCUUCUGACACAAAUUCCAAUCUCCGCUGAGGAUAACGUGAGCAGAUACAAUUCCUGGCUCAGUCCCUUUCUCAGAUCAUCUGCUGAGGAUCAACCAUGUGUACAAGCACCACUUCCCAGCCAGAUCUAACCAACUCCAGCGUACAGAGUUGUAGCUACAGUGCAAAUCAGCUCAGAGCUAUGCAUGUCACCUGCAAGCAGGACUCCAUCAGGAAACUCCUGCACCUAUUCUUCAUUUCUGGUUUACUGUUCGAGUCAAUAGAAACAGCACUAUGUUUGCUACAUAUUUGUGUUAGCCAAUCCAAAUUUCACAUCGCCCUGACCCUUCCACUGAAAUGGACUAAUUAGGUAGCUGCUGUUACUGGUGGGAUACUGGUGAUGGUGAUAAUGUUCAGGCUGGUUGUGCCAGAAAAGCAUUUUGGGAUGAGAUGAGGCGUUGUGCUCAAAGAGAUGGUCACUGCAGUGAUGGGAAAAGAAAAUAAAUACACACAUUCAAAUUAAAGUUGCCGUUGGUUCCUCUCACACCUUUAUAUUUAGCGUCUGCCACCAAGUUUGCAGGUGUCACCCUCUCCAGAAGAGGCAGAGAGCUGAAGUCUUGCCUGGUUCCCACCUCCUCUCCUGCUCCCCAACCUUGAUGCCUUGUCAGCUGCUGCCCAGCUGCAGGGCUUUAUUGCCAGCUGGUGUGACGUCGGGUGCAGCCCAGACUUGACCAGCAUUGCCCUUUCUCUCCUCCCCUCUCCCACACAGUCACUGUGCAGAACUGCACAUGACAGAGCCAGGAGAAAGAGCAAUUCCGUAGCACUGCUGCCCUAGAGAGGCAGACAGCUUUCUCUUCACA